Non-coding RNA from Phoenix dactylifera (date palm), 890 nucleotides. NCBI's taxonomy places the organism in Eukaryota, Viridiplantae, Streptophyta, Magnoliopsida, Arecales, Arecaceae. The record is from RefSeq and is a predicted model, not a curated record.
AGUUGAGGAUUUUUUGCCGAAUCGCGAUUUGCAGAGGCGACUAGGCGAGAUGCGGAGACGGUGGUCCGGUGGAGGCGUGGAGGCUCAUCGUCGUCGGCUCGUCGAGUGCAGAGGCGAGAUGAGAGUGGUGGAGGCUCGUCGGCGGCGGCUCGUCGAGUACUAGGGUUUCUCCGCUCGUCGACGGCGGCUCGUCGAGUGCAGCUUUCAGGAAUCAACGGUCCUUCUCGGAUCGUCGUCGUCGCCGAGUGCCAAUCAUCUCGGAUCGUCGCCCUCGUCUCCCUUCUCCUCCAGCCUCAAAUAUGCUAUGCAGGUUAAAUGUUGGAUAAUUUGUCCAUCCCCCUGGCAAGAACGAGUUGGGCAUCAGCGGUCUGCUGGUGGAUGGAUUACAAAAUAUGCCCUCUACGAGUUCAAGUGAGCGAACAAUUAAUUUUGGUGGACAAGGUGAUAUAAGUUCCGUUUCUUCCAAAAAGAAAUUUGGUAUGGAUUUUGCUCAAUUUAGAAGUCAGAGUUCUUCAAAACGCCCAAAGAGAUCCGAGCUAGAUAGUUAUUUGGAUGAUGAUGUGCUUCCUGAUUUGGAGAAUAAGGAGUUUGACAUCUUGGCUUGGUGGAAGAGCAAUGCAGCAGUCUAUCCUAUACUAUCAAGAAUGGCUCAAGAUGUUCUAGCUAUUCCAGUCUCCACUGUUUCAUCUGAGUCGGCAUUCAGUACUGGUGGUAGAGUUGUGGAUCAGUAUCGAAGCUCUUUGAGUCCAUCUACCGUAGAAGCCUUAGUUUGUACCCAAGAUUGGCUUCGUGAACAAUAUGAUGAAGGUAUAUAAAUCUUUUAAAUUUAUCUAAUAUUUUUUAUUUGCUUAUUGUACUUAUAAUUUAAACAUUUAUGAUUGAUUUGUGUG